RNAcentral lists this ribosomal RNA (253 nucleotides) under uncultured bacterium. RNAcentral's name for it is "partial 16S ribosomal RNA". It matches the Rfam family "Bacterial small subunit ribosomal RNA", at positions 524 to 776 of the family's 1533-position model. The record is from RNAcentral.
UACGUAGGGUGCGAGCGUUGUCCGGAAUUAUUGGGCGUAAAGAGCUUGUAGGCGGUUUGUCGCGUCUGCCGUGAAAAUUCGAGGCUCAACCUCGAACUUGCGGUGGGUACGGGCAGACUAGAGUGUGGUAGGGGAGACUGGAAUUCCUGGUGUAGCGGUGAAAUGCGCAGAUAUCAGGAGGAACACCGAUGGCGAAGGCAGGUCUCUGGGCCAUAACUGACGCUGAGAAGCGAAAGCAUGGGGAGCGAACAGG